Molecule: ribosomal RNA, 111 nt
Filed under: uncultured bacterium
Lineage: Bacteria
Description: partial 23S ribosomal RNA
Rfam family: Bacterial large subunit ribosomal RNA
Source: RNAcentral
GGGCGUACGGUGGAUGCCUAGGCGCUAGAUGAAGAAGGACGCGGCGAGCGGCGAAACGCCCGGGGAGCGGUAAGCAUGCCUUGAUCCGUGGAUAUCCGAAUGGGGCAACCC